Molecule: ribosomal RNA, 207 nt
Filed under: uncultured bacterium
Lineage: Bacteria
Description: partial 16S ribosomal RNA
Rfam family: Bacterial small subunit ribosomal RNA
Source: RNAcentral
CGCGUAGGCGGCCGAUUAAGUCGGGGGUGAAAGCCUGUGGCUCAACCACAGAAUUGCCUUCGAUACUGGUUGGCUUGAGACCGGAAGAGGACAGCGGAACUGCGAGUGUAGAGGUGAAAUUCGUAGAUAUUCGGAAGAACACCAGUGGCGAAGGCGACACACUGGCUCAUUACUGACGCUGAGGCUCGAAGGCGUGGGGAGCAAACA